RNAcentral lists this ribosomal RNA (497 nucleotides) under uncultured bacterium. Its description in RNAcentral is "partial 16S ribosomal RNA". It matches the Rfam family "Bacterial small subunit ribosomal RNA", at positions 28 to 507 of the family's 1533-position model. The record is from RNAcentral.
GAUGAACGCUGGCGGCGUGCCUAAUACAUGCAAGUCGAGCGAACGGACGAGAAGCUUGCUUCUCUGAUGUUAGCGGCGGACGGGUGAGUAACACGUGGAUAACCUACCUAUAAGACUGGGAUAACUUCGGGAAACCGUAGCUAAUACCGGAUAAUAUUUUGAACCGCAUGGUUCAAAAGUGAAAGACGGUCUUGCUGUCACUUAUAGAUGGAUCCGCGCUGCAUUAGCUAGUUGGUAAGGUAACGGCUUACCAAGGCAACGAUGCAUAGCCGACCUGAGAGGGUGAUCGGCCACACUGGAACUGAGACACGGUCCAGACUCCUACGGGAGGCAGCAGUAGGGAAUCUUCCGCAAUGGGCGAAAGCCUGACGGAGCAACGCCGCGUGAGUGAUGAAGGUCUUCAGAUCGUAAAACUCUGUUAUUAGGGAAGAACAUAUGUGUAAGUAACUGUGCACGUCUUGACGGUACCUAAUCAGAAAGCCACGGCUAACUACGUG